UGACAGAGUAAGACCACAUCUCAAAAUAUAUAUGUGUGUGUGUGUGUGUGUAUCCGUGUGUGUAUAUAUAUACACACACACACACACUCUAUGAUGCUGUG
RNAcentral lists this microRNA precursor (101 nucleotides) under Chlorocebus sabaeus (green monkey). Its description in RNAcentral is "miRNA (ENSCSAG00000020012.1)". The record is from RNAcentral. Lineage: Eukaryota; Metazoa; Chordata; Mammalia; Primates; Cercopithecidae.